Molecule: RNA transcript, 5202 nt
Organism: Macadamia integrifolia
Lineage: Eukaryota; Viridiplantae; Streptophyta; Magnoliopsida; Proteales; Proteaceae
Gene name: eIF-2-alpha kinase GCN2
Exons: 31
Source: RefSeq, a predicted model, not a curated record
UAGUAUUAGGGUAACCGAUCGUUGACACAACCCACCCGCGGUAGGGGUGAGUUAAUUCCAAAGUGAGAGCGGAUGUCAGCAUUUAGUUCCCCUCAUUUUUUAAGUCGAUUAAUUGGGUUGCGAAGUGCGAUUGUGCAACUCGCGCUUUGAUUUCAUUUUUAUUUUCUUCUUCGUUCAAAGCGAUCACUGCUUCGGCGUCGGCAUUUCCAGUUUAGUUUUGUCACUCUCUGCAAUUUAACCACAUCCCGAAGCUUCUCCUCUGCUUCACAUGGUAUAAGAUUCAGUCUCUAUAGACUUAGAUAUCACUUUCUGAUCGAUUCUAGGGUUCUAUAAUUUCUCUCUUCCUUCGGGUUUUCAUUUGCUUUUAAGAAAUUAGUCCCAUAGAAAUCAACGAUCUCUGUCUCUCUCUUGUCUGCCCAGUCUGGUUUUCCGAUUCUCUUAUCAGCAAAUAAAUUUGGCAGUGGCAUUGUGUCAUCGUCUGUUCUUAGUUCUGAAUUUCGAUUAGCUUUAGGUGCUUUUUGGAGAGUAACUCUUGCAGAUACUUUAAUGGUGCUUUAAGAGUCAAAGCAAACGUGGAGUUUUGGUUCUGCAUGGGUUAAAUGAAGUAGCUUUGAUAUUCAGGAGAGAUAAAAAGUCUGGAAUUGUCAAAUGGUUUUGUACUGAUUUCUCAGUAAUUGUCCGAGGGGGAAUCAAUGCUGGGACUGUUUGAAAAACACUAUCGAUUGAAGAAUAUAAAGGAUUAUUGGGGAAGGAAAACGAGAGGAACGAUGACUGUGGCUUGAAUAUUUAUGUUGAAUUUUGAAAAUGACUUUUGAGUAAAGACUAAGUGAACUUGGCUGACUGCUUGAUCUCUAAUUGAUCCUUAUGACUUUGGAAGGAUUCAGUUGGUAACAACACUCUAAUGGGACAUAUUUCUAAGAAGAAAAAAAGAAGUGGUGGGGGUGGACGGAAGAGUAAGGGCAGGGUUCCUUCUAAAGAUCAUGUUUGUAAUGUGGGUGACGAUGGUGAUGUCCUUUCUGACGAGCUGACUGCCCUGGCUGCCAUAUUUCAAGAAGACUUCGAAGUUGUUUCAGAUUCACCACCUCAAUUCAUUAUAAAAAUAAGGCCUUACUCCAAGGAUACAGAAUCUGAGGAUCUCUCUGUUUCAGCUCUUCUUAUAGUAAGGUGCUUGCCAGGCUAUCCAUAUAAAUGUCCAAAGUUGCAGAUAACACCAGAGAGGGGAUUAUCAAAAGAUGAUGCUGAUAAACUUCUGGCUUUGCUUUAUGAUCAGGCAAAUUUUAAUGCUCGGGAAGGACGUGUUAUGAUUUUCAAUCUUGUGGAGGCUGCUCAGGAGUUCCUAUCAGAAAUUGUUCCUAUGGGCCAAUCUAAUGAAUCCGUUUCGUGCAGCAAUUUGGAUGGAGGGGAGAAAUGUCUUAAUGGCGAUGUCAGUAUUGCUUCUAACAAGACUUGCUCUUCUAGAGGACCUUUUGUCUAUGGUUUGGUUGAUCUGUUCAAAUGUCUUGGUGGGCCAUGGAAUUGGGGCCUUGGAGUGGACAAAGAUCGGGGUGGAAAUUCUCCAACAUUAAAUCAUGCAUUGAAUACUGCAAAAAUUGAAUAUAUGGUUGCAGAGAAGCAGUUUUUUCCAAUUGGAAGGCCUACAGUAAUGCAAGAUACAUUUCACCGUCCAGUAUCAUUGCCUACUGUAAAAUUAGAUGCUCUUAAAGAAGAAAGUGAAGAUGAAGAAACUAGGAUAUCUAAUUCUAGUAUGUCACUGGUGGAGGAGUUAUUGGCAUCCAGUACAUCAUUCAAGGAUGUCGAAGAGAAGGAGCUUAUUUCCAAGGAGGAAAUAGAAGUAGUUGAUGAUAGGAAUUCAGAAACCGGGUCUUCAGAAUCAUUAAUGUCUGAUUCUGUCAUACAUGAUCAUGUGUCUCAUACAAUUGAAAAGGAUCUAAUUAUGGUUCAUUUGCUUCGCCUUGCUUGUGCUUCUCAAGGUGUAUUAGCCAAUGGGUUGCCAGAAAUAGCGUCAGAGUUGCACAAUCUAGGGCUUUUGUCAGAUAGGGUUCGGGAUUUGGUUACUAACCGUUCGUGGAUGUUUAACAAAGCCUUUAGGCAUGUUUUCCAGCAGCACAUGGUUUCAUCCCCAAUUGCUCAAUUUUGGAAAGCUACUACAGAUUUUGGUGGACAGAAUACUUCAUCUCCUCCAAGUUCCCGAUACCUCAGUGAUUUUGAGGAGCUCCGUCCACUUGGACAUGGGGGAUUUGGUCGUGUUAUGUUGUGCAGAAAUAAGCUAGAUGGAAGACAAUAUGCUGUGAAGAAAAUUUACCUGAUGGACAAGAGUCCUCCUGUUAACAAUAGAAUAUUGAGGGAGGUAGCUACACUUUCCCGUUUGCAGCAUCAACAUGUCGUCCGAUACUAUCAGGCAUGGUUUGAAACAGAAGUUGGUGGUUCUCAUGGUGAUACCUUCUGGGGUUCAAGAACUGGUGGGAGCUCCAGUUGCAGCUACAGGGCGGUGAGCUCAAGAAAUGCUACUGGACCUGAGAACAAAGUUGAAUCAACAUACCUUUACAUACAAAUGGAAUAUUGUCCUGGGACUCUGCGUCAAGUCUUUGAGUCAGACAGCAGCAAUUUUCAGAAGGAAAAUGCAUGGCAUUAUUUUCGCCAAAUUGUUGAAGGACUGGUUCACAUUCAUGGACAGGGAAUCAUUCAUCGUGAUUUGACACCAAGUAACAUAUUUUUUGAUGCUCGAAAUGACAUUAAAAUUGGAGAUUUUGGUCUUGCAAAAUUCUUGAAGCUGGAACAGGUUGAUCAUGAUCCACUUUUCCCACCUGAUACAGUUGGAGUUUCAGUGGAUGGAACUGGUCAAGUGGGCACCUAUUUCUACACUGCACCUGAAAUUGAGCAAGGGUGGCCAAAAAUUGAUGAAAAGGUUGACAUGUACAGCUUAGGAGUUGUAUUCUUUGAGCUGUGGCACCCUUUUGGUACAGCGAUGGAAAGGCACAUUGUUCUUUCUGAUCUGAAACAAAAUGGAGCACUUCCUUCUACAUGGGAAGCUGAAUUUCCUGAGCAAGCAUCCUUAUUGUGGCGCUUAAUGUCUCCUAGUCCAUCAGAUCGUCCAUCUGCUACUGAACUUCUGGAGAAAGAAUUGCCUCCGUCGCCUCCUCAGGGGGAAAACCAGUGGUUAGAUGAAAUUCUACAAAGGAUGCAGACUUCCGAGGACAGAGGUGUUUAUCAUAAGGUUGUAAAUGCUAUUUUUCUGACCCAUCAACACAACAUUGGGAGUGCGGAAUUGGCCAGAGACACUUCUUCCUUCAUCCAGUACACAGAGAUAGACACUGAAUUCCGUGAUAAUGUUGUUGAGGUUGCAAAAGAAGUGUUCAGGCAGCAUGGUGCAAAGCGGAUGGAGAUAACACCAAUGAGUUUUUUGGAUGAUAAGCAGCAAUUUCAUAGGGAUGGAGUGAAACUUCUUUCCUGUGAAGGAGAUAUGCUUGAGCUAUGUCACGAACUGCGAUUACCUUUUGUUAAUUGGGUUGUAAAAAACCAGGUAGCAUCAUUCAAACGGUAUGAAAUAUCAUGGGUUUAUAGGGAAGGAAUUUGUCAGUCACCCCCAGAUCGUUAUCUUCAGGGAGACUUUGACAUUAUUGGAGGUGCAUCAAUAUUGACAGAGGUAGAGGUUAUUAAGGCAACAAUGGAUGUCAUAUCUCGAUUUUUUCAGCUGGAUUCUUGUGAUAUUCGUAUAAACCAUGGUGAUUUAUUGGAAGCAAUGUGGACUUGGAUAGGAAUUGAGGCUGAUCUUAGACACCGUGUGUCAGAGGUUCUCUCUAUCAUGGGGUCUUUGCGUCCUCAGUCCCCAGAACGUAAAUCAAAAUGGGUUUUUGUACGGCGACAACUUUUGCAGGAUCUUAAUUUGGCAGAGGCUGUUGUGAAUAGAUUACAGACAGUAGGAUCAAGGUUCUGUGGAACAGCAGAUCAGGCCCUCCCAAGAUUAAGGGGAGCCCUUCCCCCAGAUAAAUCCACGCUCAGGGCUCUUGAGGAAUUAGCUUCCCUCUGCAGCUACCUUAGAGUUUGGAGGAUUGAGAAACAUGUUUUCAUAGACACCCUUAUGCCACCUACAGAGGGUUAUCACAGAGAGAUAUUUUUUCAGAUAUACUUCAAUAUUGGAUCAUCUACCGAAGAAGUUCUGCUUGCUGUUGGAGGUCGCUAUGAUCAUUUGCUUCAUCAAAUGUGGGAUAAUAAUUCUAAAUCAAAUCCACCAGGUGCUGUUGGGACCAGCCUUGCUCUAGAGUCAGUCAUUCAGCACUCUUCUGUGGAGAUCAAGCCUUCUAGACAUGAAGCUGGCAUUAAUGUUCUUAUUUGUUCAAGAGGUGGGGGUGGUUUGGUUGAAGAGCGAAUGGAAAUUGCUGAUGAGUUAUGGCGAGCAAACAUCAAGGCUCAAUUUGUCCCAAUAUCAGAACCAAGCCUCACGGAACAGUACGAAUAUGCAAAUGAGCAUGAUAUUAAAUGCCUUGUCUUCAUCACUGACACCGGUGUGUCUCAGACAGGCUCUGUCAAGGUCCGUCAUCUUGAACUGAAGAAGGAGAAGGAAAUAGAGAGAGAGGGGCUUGUAAAGUUUCUGACGGAUGCCGUGGCCACACAGUUCAGGAACCUCUCAAUUUGGAGUUGAAUAGGUGUCUAUGGAUCAUGUUUUGGAGUCAGAAUCCAAUUCAGUGAGAUUUGGCCAUUGACACACUGAAACCUUCCAAUAGGCCUAUACAGACUGGGAGUUUUUUCUUGUUGGAAAGAUGUUCAUGCCUAAGCGGAUGUCAACGACUACAAUCUCCACGGCUUUAGCAUCAGCUUGGGGGGGGCUUGAGAUAACUUUCUCACAGGUACAGAAGCUUUAGUAGUAGGCAGUGGUAAAGGUUUUGUGGCUAGUGGCGGUCCCAAAAGACCAAUGGAAUUGGAAGAUUGCAGAGGUUUCCAAGAAUUCUUGAGAUCAAUAUAUUUUUGUUCAUGUAGCUUUGCCAAAUCCAUUGCUUGUAAUAAGGAUGUAGGUUGAGCAAUUAACAGCUCUCGUUUCAAUUCAGGUUUUAGUCCAGAAAUGAAAAAACUGAUUAGAAAUGGCUCAGAUAGACCACUUACCUUAUAGGACAGGUUCUCAAAUUGUUCUUGAUAAGCUAUAACAGUGGAGGUCUGCUACAAUUUGGCAAGGGCUCCUUUGUGAUCCUCAAAUAGAGAUUGCCCAAA